GACGAACGCUGGCGGCGUGCUUAACACAUGCAAGUCGAACGGAAAGGCCCUGCUUUUGUGGGGUGCUCGAGUGGCGAACGGGUGAGUAACACGUGAGUAACCUGCCCUUGACUUUGGGAUAACUUCAGGAAACUGGGGCUAAUACCGGAUAGGAGCUCCUGCUGCAUGGUGGGGGUUGGAAAGUUUCGGCGGUUGGGGAUGGACUCGCGGCUUAUCAGCUUGUUGGUGGGGUAGUGGCUUACCAAGGCUUUGACGGGUAGCCGGCCUGAGAGGGCGACCGGGCCCAUUGGGACUGUGAGACGGGCCCCACGCCCACGGGGGGGGGCAGGGGGGAAUAUUUCACAAAGGGGGGGAGCCCGAUGCAGCAACGCCGCGUGCGGGGGGACGGCCCUUGGGUUGUAAACCGCUUUUGCCCGUGACGAAGCGCGAGUGACGGUGAAGGGGAAAAAAGCGCCCGCGUAACCCGUGC
Molecule: ribosomal RNA, 469 nt
Filed under: uncultured bacterium
Lineage: Bacteria
Description: partial 16S ribosomal RNA
Rfam family: Bacterial small subunit ribosomal RNA
Source: RNAcentral